Molecule: non-coding RNA, 27 nt
Filed under: Cricetulus griseus (Chinese hamster)
Lineage: Eukaryota; Metazoa; Chordata; Mammalia; Rodentia; Cricetidae
Source: RNAcentral
CCCUCUGCUUGGGGGUAGGAAGCUUGG